Fukomys damarensis (Damara mole-rat) is the source of this 790-nucleotide long non-coding RNA. RefSeq lists it as uncharacterized. The record is from RefSeq and is a predicted model, not a curated record. The transcript is spliced from 3 exons. Lineage: Eukaryota; Metazoa; Chordata; Mammalia; Rodentia; Bathyergidae.
UGAUGCUCUUUGCUUUCUCUCCGCUAGGUCUAUAACACAGUUCCUCUACUGUGACCCUCAGCCAUGCUGUCCUGCUUCAGAGCCACAGGACUAUGGCCUGAAAUGUGAGCUAAAAUAAUUCUCUCUGUCCUGAUGAUGCAGGUAUUGGGUAUUGUGUCUCUAAAACCUGAAAAGUGACUGUGUCUGUCAUCUUAUUUGCAUCUCACUCCAAAUUAAUGUAUCCUGCAGUGUCUCCUGAAUUUGUUCACCAAAGUGUAAUCCUCAAUCAUUCCCAUUCUCCUGAAGAUUUGAGCCAAUCUCCUGACAAAACUGACACCACUUCUAGGCUGACUUGGCAGCUGCUGAGCUCUGGAGACCUGAGAGCUUCUGCGGACCUGGAUACUGAGAGACCCUUCAGAGCACCAGUCCUGAGAACAUCCUAAGUACACUGUGAAAUAUGAAUUCACAUACCUUGAGUGCCUGGGAGAAAGUAUUAAGAUGCUCUGUCUGUAGGAACCUCCCCAUCGACCCUGUUACCAUACCCUGUGGGGACAGUUUUUGCCGUUCCUGCCUCCUCUUCUGCUGGGACGAAAAAGCCCAGACUCGAAAGCGCUGUCCUCUGUGCAGGACUGUAACAAACCCUCUGGACAUCCGAACUGAUCCUGUCCUUGACCACUUGGCUUCCCUCAUCAGAAAGGCCAGACCCAAAUAUGCCACUAUCUGUGAGGAGCAGACCAGGGCAGAGGCUGCUGAAUGAAGAAAAUAGGGUAGAGGGUGCUUGUUUCAAAGAGAAAAAUAUGCAUAAUUAGAA